AGAAUGAGCGAAAGAAAGAAAGAAAGCUCUAUUUUGAUUUCGUUUUCUUCUACAUCUGAAAGAAUAACAAAAACGCUCUCUUUAACACCUCAGCUUCAUAAAAUAUACCAUAAUAUUACUUUUUUUUCUUUUUCGUUUCUUUAAUUUCUUUCAUAUUGACGAUUCACACUUCCUUUUCUGUUCACACCACCUUCGUAUAAAUCUUUCCUCUUCUUUCUCUCUCUAUCUUUUUCCUUUCCCUUCUUCUGAUCUGUUGAUCGAUCCCUUCUUUUUCUUAUCUCUCUUUGCCUUACCUCAAUUAUUUCUCUUGUUGGUUGUAUUUAAAUGGAAGGACAUCAUCAUCAUCAUCAACAACACCAUCAACUUCAACAUCAGCAUCACAUCAGUGUUAACGUUGACACUGAUAGGUUUCCUCAAUGGAGUGUUCAAGAAACAAAGGAGUUCUUGAUGAUCCGUGCAGAACUCGAUCGAACUUUCAUGGAGACUAAAAGAAAUAAGCUCCUUUGGGAAGUAAUUUCUAAUAAAAUGAAAGAAAAGGGUUAUAAUCGCAGCGCAGAGCAGUGCAAGUGCAAAUGGAAAAACCUCGUUACUCGAUACAAGGGAUGUGAAACGAUGGAACCUGAAUCUUUACGACAACAAUUUCCAUUUUAUAACGAGCUGCAAGCGAUUUUCACUGCAAGAAUGCAAAGAAUGCUUUGGGUGGAAUCAGAAGUAGGAGGAGCAGGUGGGUCUAAAAAGAAAGCGGUGCAGUUAUCGUCAGACGAAGAGGAUGAUAACGAAGAAAGUGAGGGAGAGAAGGGAAGCAUUAGAAAGAAGAAGAAGGGAAAAAGCAUGGCAAAUAUUGGCAGUGGUAGUAGUAGUAGUGGAAAUAGUAAAAAUUUGAAGGAGAUUUUAGAGGAUUUCAUGAAACAGCAAAUGCAAAUGGAAAUGCAAUGGAGAGAAGCAUUUGAAGCGAGAGAAAACGAGAGGAGGAUGAAAGAGAUGGAGUGGAGACAAACUAUGGAAGCAUUAGAGAACGAGAGGAUAAUGAUGGAUAGGAGAUGGAGAGAAAGAGAAGAGCAAAGAAGGAUAAGAGAAGAAGCUAGGGCAGAGAAGAGAGAUGCACUAAUCACAGCACUUCUAAAUAAGCUUAGAAGAGAAGAAAUUUAAACAUGUGUACGUUUUUUUAAUUGUUUUGGAAGAAGAAAGAGGGGAAAGCUAGCUUUUGAUAGAGGAGGUAGGAGGAUAUUCAAACCAUUAAUUAAGAAGUUGCAUGGAAGAUUAAUUUGAUAUAAUGGUGUAAAAAGUGUAGCCGUUGUUGAGCUAAUGAGCUGCAUUAAUUUCUUAAUUAGGUCAAUAUAAUUUAAGAUUUCCAACAACGUUGAAUAGUAUAUAUGUCGGUGACACAGCUUCAGAGGUGUGUAUAGCUGCCAGAGGUUCCGUAAGAGGAAGAUAAAUGUUUGUUGAUAGAACUGUUGCUUCAAACAUAUGAUUUGUUUACUAUAAGUUUGUUUUUUUUUUUUUUUU
This is a non-coding RNA of Jatropha curcas, 1506 nucleotides long. The record is from RefSeq and is a predicted model, not a curated record. Lineage: Eukaryota; Viridiplantae; Streptophyta; Magnoliopsida; Malpighiales; Euphorbiaceae.